RNAcentral lists this ribosomal RNA (239 nucleotides) under uncultured Lactobacillus sp. Its description in RNAcentral is "partial 16S ribosomal RNA". It matches the Rfam family "Bacterial small subunit ribosomal RNA", at positions 122 to 355 of the family's 1533-position model. The record is from RNAcentral. Lineage: Bacteria; Bacillati; Bacillota; Bacilli; Lactobacillales; Lactobacillaceae.
UAACCUGCCCAAGAGAUCGGGAUAACACCUGGAAACAGAUGCUAAUACCGGAUAAUAACAGAUGAUGCCUAUCAACUGUUUAAAAGAUGGUUCUGCUAUCACUCUUGGAUGGACCUGCGGUGCAUUAGCUAGUUGGUAGGGUAACGGCCUACCAAGGCGAUGAUGCAUAGCCGAGUUGAGAGACUGAUCGGCCACAUUGGGACUGAGACACGGCCCAAACUCCUACGGGAGGCAGCAGC